Molecule: ribosomal RNA, 492 nt
Filed under: uncultured bacterium
Lineage: Bacteria
Description: partial 16S ribosomal RNA
Rfam family: Bacterial small subunit ribosomal RNA
Source: RNAcentral
AGUGAACGCUGGCGGUAUGCCUUACACAUGCAAGUCGAACGGCAACACACUAAGAGCUUGCGAUUACUGGUGGCGAGUGGCGUAAUGGUGCGGAAUACAUCCGAAGCUACUUUUUCGUGGGGGGUAACGUAGGGUAACUUACGCUAAUACCUCAUACGGACUACGGGGGACAGCAGGGGAUCUUCUGACCUUGCGCGUUUGAAGCGGCCGAUGUCGGAUUAGCUAGUUGGCGGGGUAAAGGCCCACCAAGGCGACGAUCCGUAGCUGGUCUGAGAGGACGACCAGGCACAAGGGGACUGAGACACGGCCCAGACUGCUACGGGAGGCAGCAGUGGGGAAUGUUGGACAAUGGGCGCAAGCCUGAUCCAGCAAUGCCGCGUGCGGGAAGAAGGCCUUCGGGUUGUAAACCGCUUUUGGCAGGAACGAAACGGUGUCCGCUAAUACCGGGCGCUAAUGACGGUACCUGCAGAAUAAGCACCGGCUAACUACGUG